This 271-nucleotide ribosomal RNA is filed under the name uncultured bacterium. RNAcentral's name for it is "partial 16S ribosomal RNA". It matches the Rfam family "Bacterial small subunit ribosomal RNA", at positions 524 to 794 of the family's 1533-position model. The record is from RNAcentral.
UACGUAGGGUGCGAGCGUUAAUCGGAAUUACUGGGCGUAAAGCGUGCGCAGGCGGUUUGACAAGUCUGAUGUGAAAUCCCCGGGCUCAACCUGGGAACUGCGUUGGAAACUGGCAGACUGGAGUGUGGCAGAGGGGGGUGGAAUUCCAAGUGUAGCAGUGAAAUGCGUAGAUAUUUGGAGGAACACCGAUGGCGAAGGCAGCCCCCUGGGCUAACACUGACGCUCAUGCACGAAAGCGUGGGGAGCAAACAGGAUUAGAUACCCUAGUAGU